Molecule: ribosomal RNA, 468 nt
Filed under: uncultured bacterium
Lineage: Bacteria
Description: partial 16S ribosomal RNA
Rfam family: Bacterial small subunit ribosomal RNA
Source: RNAcentral
GACGAACGCUGGCGGCGUGCUUAACACAUGCCAGUCGAACGGAAAGGCCCUGCUUUUGUGGGGUGCUCGAGUGGCGAAAGGGUGAGUAAGAGGUGAGUAACCUGCCCUUGACUUUGGGAUAACUUCAGGAAACUGGGGCUAAUACAGGAUAGGAGCUCCUGCUGCAUGGUGGGGGGUGGAAAGUUUCGGCGGUUGGGGAUGGACUCGCGGGUUAUCAGCUUGUUGGUGGGGGGGUGGCUUACCAAGGCAUUGACGGGUAGCCGGCCUGAGAGGGUGACCGGCCACAUUGGGACUGAGGUACGGCCCAGACUCCUACUGGAGGCAGCAGUGGGGAAGAUUGCACAAUGGGCGGAAGCCUGAUGCAGCAACGCCGCGUGCGGGAUGACGGCCUUCGGGUUGUAAACCGCUUUCGCCUGUGACGAAGCGUGAGUGACGGUAAUGGGUAAAGAAGCACCGGCUAACUACGUG